RNAcentral lists this ribosomal RNA (468 nucleotides) under uncultured bacterium. RNAcentral describes it as "partial 16S ribosomal RNA". It matches the Rfam family "Bacterial small subunit ribosomal RNA", at positions 28 to 507 of the family's 1533-position model. The record is from RNAcentral.
GACGAACGCUGGCGGCGUGCUUAACACAUGCAAGUCGAACGGAAAGGCCCUGCUUUUGUGGGGUGCUCGAGUGGCGAACGGGUGAGUAACACGUGUGUAACCUGCCCUUGUCUUUGGGAUAACUUCAGGAAACUGGGGCUAAUACCGGAUAGGAGCUCCUGCUGCAUGGUGGGGGUUGGAAAGUUUCGGCGGUUGGGGAUGGACUCGCGGCUUAUCAGCUUGUUGGUGGGGUAGUGGCUUACCAAGGCUUUGACGGGUAGCCGGCCUGAGAGGGUGACCGGCCACAUUGGGACUGAGAUACGGCGCAGACUCCUACGGGAGGCAGCAGUGGGGAAUAUUGCACAAUGGGCGGAAGCCUGAUGCAGCAACGCCGGGUGCGGGAUGACGGCCUUCGGGUUGUAAACCGCUUUCGCCUGUGACGAAGCGUGAGUGACGGUAAUGGGUAAAGAAGCACCGGCUAACUACGUG